AGGACGAACGCUGGCGGCGUGCUUAACACAUGCAAGUCGAGCGGAAAGGCCCUUCGGGGUACUCGAGCGGCGAACGGGUGAGUAACACGUGAGUAAUCUGCCCCUAGCUCUGGGAUAGCUCCGGGAAACCGGGAUUAAUACCGGAUACGACCACCUUAGACAUCUUUUGUGGUGGAAAGAAUUUCGGCUAGGGAUGAGCUCGCGGCCUAUCAGCUUGUUGGUGGGUAACGCCUACCAAGGCGACGACGGGUA
RNAcentral lists this ribosomal RNA (252 nucleotides) under uncultured bacterium. RNAcentral describes it as "partial small subunit ribosomal RNA". It matches the Rfam family "Bacterial small subunit ribosomal RNA", at positions 26 to 285 of the family's 1533-position model. The record is from RNAcentral.